AGAGUUUGAUCAUGGCUCAGAUUGAACGCUGGCGGCAGGCCUAACACAUGCAAGUCGAGCGGUAACAGGCCCUUCGGGGCGCUGACGAGCGGCGGACGGGUGAGUACUGCAUAGGAAUCUACCCGGUAGUUGGGGAUAACCUGGGGAAACUCAGGCUAAUACCGCAUACGUCCUACGGGAGAAAGCAGGGGCCUUUUGGCCUUGCGCUAUCGGAUGAGCCUAUGCCGGAUUAGCUGGUUGGUGAGGUAAUGGCUCACCAAGGCGACGAUCCGUAGCUGGUCUGAGAGGAUGAUCAGCCACAUCGGGACUGAGACACGGCCCGAACUCCUACGGGAGGCAGCAGUGGGGAAUAUUGGACAAUGGGGGCAACCCUGAUCCAGCCAUGCCGCGUGUGUGAAGAAGGCCUUCGGGUUGUAAAGCACUUUCAGCGAGGAAGAACGCCUGGCGGUUAAUACCCGCCAGGAAAGACAUCACUCGCAGAAGAAGCACCGGCUAACUCCGUGCCAGCAGCCGCGGUAAUACGGAGGGUGCGAGCGUUAAUCGGAAUUACUGGGCGUAAAGCGCGCGUAGGCGGCGUGAUAAGCCGGUUGUGAAAGCCCUGGGCUCAACCUGGGAACUGCAUCCGGAACUGUCAGGCUAGAGUGCAGGAGAGGAAGGUAGAAUUCCCGGUGUAGCGGUGAAAUGCGCAGAGAUCGGGAGGAAUACCAGUGGCGAANGCGGCCUUCUGGACUGACACUGACGCUGAGGUGCGAAAGCGUGGGUAGCAAACAGGAUUAGAUACCCUGGNAGUCCACGCCGUAAACGAUGUCGACCAGCCGUUGGGUGCCUUGAGCACUUUGUGGCGAAGUUAACGCGAUAAGUCGACCGCCUGGGGAGUACGGCCGCA
This 886-nucleotide ribosomal RNA is filed under the name uncultured bacterium. Its description in RNAcentral is "bacterial SSU rRNA". It matches the Rfam family "Bacterial small subunit ribosomal RNA", at positions 8 to 890 of the family's 1533-position model. The record is from RNAcentral.